GUACCAGAUACAAGUCCCCAUGGGAAAAUCACAAAAUCACUCGAGCUGCAUGCUUCUCUAGACCAAAGAUGUGGCAGCAUUGCAUCCUUUUCUGCUUUUUUCUUUUGGAUAAUAAGCCUUUAGGCUGGACGCCAGCCAGUGAAGCACAAAAAUUUAGCAUUGACUGAAGUCCUUGAACAGUGGGCUAAUUUGCCAGCAAAAGAUGCAGCAUGAAAGUCUUACUAUUCCCUGGAAAAAUUUUAGGGGUUCAUUGCAAACCAACCUUGCCUUCAGGAUCAACGAAUAAUGGCUUUUCUAGUUUAAUGAUCCUUUUUUCUCAGAGGUUUCUUUGCUUGGUUUUUGAAAUAAUCAAGGAUUAGCCACCUCAGAUUUCUUUUUCUUUUCUGUUCUUUCUUGUUAAGUUUAGGGAGAGAUGAGUCAUUUUGCUUCUUUUAUUUCAAUGCAUCAUAGGCCAUAAAUCAAGCAAUUGUUAAGAAUUAGCCUAAAGGCUUUGGUGGUUCUUAGUGAUCUCUCUUCAUUUCUUGUUAUUUUUCUCUUUAAUUUUUCAUUGUCUUUGCUCUAGCUGUUGUUGAUGGUGAUCUAGGGUAUUAUCAUGUGGGAGUACAGUUUGUCAUGUGGAGCUGGUGUCUUUACAAGGCUGAGUUAUUAAACUUCACCAAGCAUCCCCAUCUGAGUCUUCCCCUAUUGCUGAAUGACACUCAAAAAACUUUAUAGUGCUUUCUCCCAAAAACCAUCUUAAGAUGGUUGAAGUAAACAAGGUUAUUCUGGACAAGCCUGAAAUCUCUAUCAUUAUUUUCUAAGGAAUUUUGGCUCUCCAAUCCCCACCCUGCUUUUUCUAUUUUUAAGUGAAACUCAUGAAUAGAAUCUGAGCAAAUAAGAUGUCUAUCAUUUAUUUGCUAGGAAAUUUUCUCCUACACCCUUAUCCCCACCCUGCUUUUUCCAUUUUUACACAAAUUUUAUGAAAAGAAUCUGAACAAAUAUGAGAUCUCUAUCAUUUAUUUGCUAAGAAAUUUUCACCCACCACCCUGCUUUUUUCAAUGUUUAAGCGAAUUUAAUGAAGAGAAUCUGAAGAAGCAAGUGAUCUCUAUCAUUUCUUUGUUAGGAAAUUUUCUCCUAGACUUUCCCACCCCCCCCCCCGGCCCUUUUCUCAAAAAAAAAAAAAAGAAAGGAUGUUCUCAGUCUUCUCCCAUCAUUGUCGAGCCCCAAGUUCAUAUCAUUGUGGUGUACUGGAUAUCUGUCGCGCACUUGUGCCGUCCAUUUAGUUUCAAGUUCUUCGGCAUGUAUUUAGGUUUCCACCUACAUCCAGACUCCUUUCGAAUUCUUUUAUCUUGUAUUGGGUUAUUGAAGGUUUUCACAUACCCAUUUCCUAUUUCUUUCAAUCUUUUUUGCAAUUGAAAAACAUUUAGGAAGUGUUCGGUUGGGGGUUGGGGUCUGGAAUCGAAAUGGAAAUGAGUGACUCCCAUUCCAACCAUUUGAUUGGGAGGAGUCCCAUUCUGAUUCCAAAUCUGGGACGGAAUGGGAAUGGCCCAAUCUAUCUAAAACUCAAUUCCUACUCUCCCCCAAGGAUUCAAAUUUCUAAUUCCGAUUUCGAUCACAAACCAAAUGCUUUGGGAGAUUUGGCCAUUCCGAUUCCGAUUCUAAUUGUG
RNAcentral lists this long non-coding RNA (1646 nucleotides) under Elaeis guineensis (African oil palm). RNAcentral describes it as "long non-coding RNA (EGUI_LNC007476)". The record is from RNAcentral. Lineage: Eukaryota; Viridiplantae; Streptophyta; Magnoliopsida; Arecales; Arecaceae.